Peromyscus eremicus (cactus mouse) is the source of this 485-nucleotide long non-coding RNA. RefSeq lists it as uncharacterized. Lineage: Eukaryota; Metazoa; Chordata; Mammalia; Rodentia; Cricetidae. The record is from RefSeq and is a predicted model, not a curated record. The transcript has 3 exons.
CGGGGCAGAGAUGGCUCUGAUAGGAGCUAAACUGUAUUUCUCUCACUGGCCUUAUCUGAGCCAUUCUUCCCUAAUUCUGGGCUCCAGGGUCAGGGCCACUUGCCAGUGCUGUGCUAACUAUGUAAAUGUGGAGGCUGCCCUGUUCUGGCCACAGAUCGAUCAGUGUGCUCUAUAGAGUAAAUAUGUCAAGAUCUGUCCUGAGCACAAUACCCACAAGCAGAGCAGAAGCAACCACUCUGUAAGAAACUGGCCACUCUCCAUGCCUGCCUUCAUGAGCAAUAGUAUGCUUCUUAGUGAAGAAUCAGCCAUCUGCAGCCAAGACCUCCACAGCUCUCCACAAGGUGACUGGGCUUAUUUUGAACACAAGAAAGUUCCAGUUUAAGGAUGUUCUUAAAAAUACUGGAGAUUUUAUAAUAGGACAAUACACACAGUCUAGUAGCUUCACGCUAAUAGCAAAUAAACUAGUAAACUACAGAGAGGUAAAC